UACAACUUUCAACAACGGAUCUCUUGGUUCUGGCAUCGAUGAAGAACGCAGCGAAAUGCGAAAAGUAGUGUGAAUUGCAGAAUUCAGUGAAUCAUCGAAUCUUUGAACGCACAUUGCGCCCCUUGGUAUUCCAUGGGGCAUGCCUGUUCGAGCGUCAUUUUGUACCCUCAAGCACUGCUUGGUGUUGGGCGUUUGUCCUGCAGAGGACUCGCCUGAAAGCGAUUGGCGGCCAACGUAGUCGUGGCAGAGCGCAGCA
This 256-nucleotide ribosomal RNA is filed under the name Leptosphaeria sp. Sg17-1. RNAcentral's name for it is "5.8S ribosomal RNA". The stretch from base 4 to 157 matches the Rfam family "5.8S ribosomal RNA". From Rfam's summary of the family: 5.8S ribosomal RNA (5.8S rRNA) is a component of the large subunit of the eukaryotic ribosome. It is transcribed by RNA polymerase I as part of the 45S precursor that also contains 18S and 28S rRNA. Lineage: Eukaryota; Fungi; Ascomycota; Dothideomycetes; Pleosporales; Leptosphaeriaceae. The record is from RNAcentral.